ACAACAAACUGAAGAUUGUAAAUCACUAGAAGUUGAGAAGUAUCUCAGAUCGUGCAUUAAAUCAUAUCCACACGUCCAUUCAGUUUUAUUUAAACAGUUAGUCCAAGUGGUUGCUGACACAUCCCUAGGAGAUCAACCUACCACACUAACACAAGUGAUUGCUGCCAUACAAGGAAACAGAGGUUUUAUUGAUCAAGAAUCAUGUUCUACUUGUGGGACAACUUCUAAAAAUGUUAAGAAAUGCUCAAAAUGCA
Long non-coding RNA from Amphimedon queenslandica, 254 nucleotides. RefSeq lists it as uncharacterized. The transcript is spliced from 3 exons. NCBI's taxonomy places the organism in Eukaryota, Metazoa, Porifera, Demospongiae, Haplosclerida, Niphatidae. The record is from RefSeq and is a predicted model, not a curated record.